CACAUGUGCAUACAUGCACACAUUCCAUCCGGAGGUUCAAAGCAGGUCAUUCCUUCUAACAGAAUUACUAAAUCCAAUAUCUUAAACACCUCUGUAAUUUUACUUUCUCCUGACAUUUUCAAAAACAUUUGCUUUUUUACUUAAUUGUCCCACUGAUAUGAGCAAGACUUGCAAAUUUAAAACACUUUUUACAUAUUUUUCCCUGAGCUUGCACCCAAGUAAGAGUGGGGCUUUUGUUACUUUGCACGAGAUUCUCACGCAGAGCAGAGUGGAGGAGGAAGGAUACAUCUACAUUUAUACAUUAUACUUAACAUAUGCUUUCUCACAACCCUGUUCUUAAGCUCCAGUCCUCUACACCAGGGUCAGCAGAUGAAAACUACCUAACAUAUGGGCAACUACAAUAACACAGCUGAAGGUAUUAAUGAUCCUCUGUAAUUACACAACAUUCAAGAAGUCACAAACUCGAGCCUACUGAGCAACAUGGCUGGAGCUUCUAUGCAAGAGAUCUCCUCAGGGCAGAAGAGAAUGGGAUCUGCAGGAAGAACAUUCCUACCAAGGUUUCCCAGUGCUGCAAGUAUCCCAUGACAAUGUGGAUUGGUAAAGACACUUACAGAUGUCCAAGACAUAUUCACCUGCUGCGUUUGCUUCUUGAAUGAAAUCUUUACCCCUCUGUCACCAGCUAUUUCUGCGCUCUACAGGCUCCACUUUAAAGUACAGAAGGGUGUGAGUUCAAAAGAGCAGUGACUGCCUCCUGUCUUACAUAUAUACAAUGCCUCAUACCAUGUGAGAUUAUAAAAACAGGGCUUAUAUAUUGCCUUUUUCAAAAUGUCCUGAGGAUAUCUUCCUAUUGUUUAAUACGCUGCAGUGCAUUGACAUCCUCACCAGACAAAACUGCCUCUGUUCUGACCAGCACAGCUACACCAUUUUACCACUGAGCCCUGCUGAGAAUCUGCAUCCAUGAGCUCAGGCAACAUAGCUACGUUGCUUUGAGCUUUGAACUGAAGCAAGCAUCCUGAAGAGCUUGAUGUUGGAUGAACACAGGAGCUUGGGGAAUCACUACACUGUAAUCCACACUGGGCUGGGGAUGUACCCAAAAUGGCUUUGGUUUGUGGCUUGGAUAAAAACACAGUGAGACAUGUGGUCUAAAAUUAGUCAGGGAACCCUGAAAAUUUUUUUCAUUGUACCUCUCGCUGCUUGGUGUGGAGCCAUGAUGGGUUCGAAUAUGCACCCGUUGCACCCAUACCUUUAGGAAGUUGGUGGCUGGGGAGUCUCAUGACCUGAGUGAACCAUCGAUGGCAUCAAGGCAGCCCAGCCCUUUACCAUCAUACUGGAAGAGGAAGGGGGACAGCAGUGGAGUGUCCAAUUGCUAAACAGACUUAAAACAUAUCACUCAGUGUAAGCAACUGUCACCAGGUGCUACGUGACUGUGAGAUACUGUGGUUUGGAAGAGGAAGUGGCUGACGUUAGAGGGUCCAUGGGAAUUUUUCAAUACAGCCACUGCCUGUACUUUCAUCAGUGCUUGUUUCUACGAUAUUAGAUUUGACACAGCUGUUGCUUGCAGGGCUUUUCUUUGAAGAGUUAGAAAAUCCUAAAGCUGUCAUUUAGUGAGUGAUACUCUUCUAUAAACUAUCUGGACUUCUAUAAAUAUUGCUGACUCCAUGCAGGGCAUUAUUAUCUAAUCUCCCAGGGAACAUCUCUAAUCACAGUCUACCCGCCCAUGUCAAUCUAGGACACAUCCAACCCUUAGAAAUAGCAGUGGAGAAAUCAUAAACUGUUCUAACACAUGGAGUUGGCAGACAAGUGCGAGACAAGAUCACAAACUGUGCAAAAUGAACAGUUUGCAAGUGAACGUGCUUCUCUCUUUCCCCAUCAAAGUGCUGGUUGAGUAUCUUACGAUGACUUCAAAUUAACACACUAGCCUCCUUUCUUUUUUUCUUUUAAAUACAUUUCCCUUUAAUCAGAGCUGCCUACUUGACAGUAACACAAUUACCUGCAGUGGAUCAUCUUCUGUUCCAUGACCAAAGUGGUCUCUUUUUUUGUUAUGAAUUCGUAAAGUUUUCCAAUUGAAACAGGUCUGAGUGCCAUAUAAGAAUCAGUGUUGGUUUAAGUCUGCUGUGGAACAACUGCAAGACCUAAUUACAACCUCUUCUUACGAGCAAAUAGUGAAGGAGAAUAGAAGUCAGGAAAAAGAACUGGAUGGUUCUAUUCACCUUUAUCUUAAAUCAAACUCACCAUUCAGGAGAUGGAUCAUGAAUGACAGGGAAAUUGUUUUCUUCAUUUCUAGGUUGGCUUUAAUGUAAGUCUUCCUUGAAAAGGCUAUCCAUCGCACAAGUCUAACUGCGAAGCGUGAGUUUGUGCUAAGCCCGUGUACCAUUUUAUGGUGGAGAGAGGUUUUUGUGAGGAUUUUGGGGGGUGGUUGUCUAAGUUUGUUCACUUAAAAAGAAAGAAAGAAAAAAAGAAAAAUGAAGAGUGUUCCCUGGUAGACCACACAGGUAAGACAUACAGCAGGCUCUUCCUGUACACCAUGUGUAUGACUUAAGAACACCAGCUUGCAUUGUCUGGCUGAAUACAAAAGUACUUCAUAGUCAGCAAAGGCAAACAUACGGCGCUGGCAACAUUCCAGGUAAACAGGCUCAUGCAAACAAGAUGAUAAAUAUAUGGCUGGUGUCAGUUGUCUUUGCUAUUACUUAUUAUUUAUGGAGCAACCUUGAAGUGCAAUGGAGUACGAGAUCUGAAACUUUUUAUUGCAACAGUGGUUAGAACUUCACAGGCGUUACCAGGUUUUUACCCUAGCCAUUAGGGAGAAGUUUACAUUCUCCACCACAUACCAGCCUGGAUACUUUUUAAGCUGUACAGAUACCAAUGAGAUUACCACUUCUGAGAAAAGUCUUACUACCUAGUAGUCAGGGCAUCAUAGGUGUCAAGAUAUGGGUUUAAAAUCUGAAAAUCUGGAGGUCUCCUAUUUUAUUUUUUUAAUUUUAGGAGUGUCAUAACAGGUAAUCAUUAUGCAAAGAGUAGGGUUGCCAUCUUUGAGAGCAAGUUCCAGAAUACAUACACAAUUCUAGGAAAAAGUUUAGUGUAUGUGACUGCUAACAAGCGCUUCACUUCGGCUUCAGCAAAAGGAUGCUACCUGCUGAAACAAGUGGGUCACAAGCCUGUAAGUCUCCAUCCUUGGAGAUACUCAAAUGCCAUCUGGGCAUGGUCCUGGGCAACCUGGCUCCACGUGGCCCUGC
Haliaeetus leucocephalus (bald eagle) is the source of this 3233-nucleotide long non-coding RNA. RefSeq lists it as uncharacterized. NCBI's taxonomy places the organism in Eukaryota, Metazoa, Chordata, Aves, Accipitriformes, Accipitridae. The transcript is spliced from 4 exons. The record is from RefSeq and is a predicted model, not a curated record.